Long non-coding RNA from Mya arenaria, 686 nucleotides. RefSeq lists it as uncharacterized. Lineage: Eukaryota; Metazoa; Mollusca; Bivalvia; Myida; Myidae. The record is from RefSeq and is a predicted model, not a curated record. The transcript is spliced from 3 exons.
CCCAUAUUUCUUGAAAACAGCGUUGGCAUCGCCAUCGAAAGAGAAACUAGUGAUUAGAACAGUCAACAUUGGUUUUGCCUCCUUACGAUAUAAAAGCAUGUUUUCGCCUACUAUCUUAUCAUAAACUAGAGCGCGACCGUCUUAAGCAAAUCAAGUAGGACCAACCGGCUUAGCAAACUUUGAGACUUGGAGAUCCUCCAGAUAAAUCAUCGACGACGUCACAUUCAACAAACGCAGAUGGGUAACUCAGGUGGUGGAGGUGGUUUUGGUGGUACUGAUGGCGGUGGUGGUGGGGGUGGCGGAGGUGGAGGUUUCGGUGGCGGUGGGGGUUCCGGCGGCGGUGGCAGCAAAAUCUGGGGUUCCGAAGACCGCUCAUACGGCAUUCCUGUAGGUGUUAUGAACAAAAGGACCAUCGAAAAUUCUGUUGACUUCCAGUUUCUGCAGAAUGACAUCCUCAUGAGCAGGACUCGGGACUCAUUCUAACGUGCCAUUUCACUUUAUCAUAUACAAAAAUAGUUUCUGUAUUCUUAUAUUUGGCAUAAUGUGUUUUCAGAUUGCUUUCAGUUUGACACUGUUUGACAUUAAUAUGUGACACUGGUAAAAGGAACGGGCAAUUUUACAGUUAAUCAAAUGUCUAUUUUCUGUCAUAACUUCACUUGUAACGCAAAUAAAAUAAUAUAAACAUA